Molecule: unclassified non-coding RNA, 315 nt
Filed under: plant metagenome
Description: partial contains 5.8S ribosomal RNA, internal transcribed spacer 2, and large subunit ribosomal RNA
Rfam family: 5.8S ribosomal RNA (bases 1-105)
Source: RNAcentral
GAACUGCGAUAAGUAAUGUGAAUUGCAGAAUUCAGUGAAUCAUCGAGUCUUUGAACGCACAUUGCGCCCCCUGGCAUUCCGGGGGGCAUGCCUGUCCGAGCGUCAUUGCUGCCCUUCAAGCCCGGCUUGUGUGUUGGGUCGUCGUCCCCUCCGGGGGACGGGCCCGAAAGGCAGCGGCGGCACCGCGUCCGGUCCUCGAGCGUAUGGGGCUUUGUCACCCGCUCGAUAAGGACCGGCCGGGCGCCAGCCGGCGUCUCCAACCUAUUUUUCUCAGGUUGACCUCGGAUCAGGUAGGGAUACCCGCUGAACUUAAGC